This 205-nucleotide long non-coding RNA is filed under the name Nicotiana benthamiana. RNAcentral describes it as "long non-coding RNA (NBEN_LNC037744)". Lineage: Eukaryota; Viridiplantae; Streptophyta; Magnoliopsida; Solanales; Solanaceae. The record is from RNAcentral.
GAGAGAUUGGCGGGGACGUCACCCAUCGUAUAGGAGCGGGGUGGUCAAAGUGGAGGCUUGCAUCAGGAGUCCUGUGUGAUAAGAAAGUUCCACACAAACUCAAGGGGAAAUUUUAUAGAGCUGUGGUUUGACCUGCAAUGUUGUAUGGGGCGGAGUGCUGUCCCGUGAAGAACUCUCAUGUUCAGAGAAUGAAUGUUGUGGAGAU